GCGGCCGCCGAGCUCUCCCCGCCCGGCCCAGCCCCUCCGCCGCAGCCGCGGGGCAGCCCCGAGCCACGGCCCCGGCUGGCGGGCGGGCUGCGGGCAGGAUCCUGGCGCUCGGGCUCUGGCAAGGGGAAAGGACAGAAACGGCGCAUCGGGAGGGACCCUGCCUCACCGCUUGUAUAUGGCAAAGUUUCUCGCCGAGCUCCUGGGCUGCACGUUGCCGAGCAAGGGCGCCUCUCCCAUGUUUGAGUCUAAAAGUCAUUCCCGAGUUGGCCUGAAAUCAAGCACCAAGCAAAAGACCACCAUUUUCAGCACAUUGGCCAGUGAGAAGUCCUUAUCUGACUGCAAAAAGAUAAUUGAACCAGGGCACAAGGAGACUUUUGUACUUGUUCAGGUCACACAGUAAGUGAUGGAGCCAGGAUUACAACCUGCCCUUCCUUACAACCUGCUCUUCCUUACAACCUCUGACACCAUAUUCUGAAAGAGGAAAGUAUGCCUCAGACUCCUCCCUUUUCAGCAAUG
RNAcentral lists this long non-coding RNA (516 nucleotides) under Homo sapiens (human). RNAcentral's name for it is "non-protein coding lnc-RASGEF1B-1:4". The record is from RNAcentral. Lineage: Eukaryota; Metazoa; Chordata; Mammalia; Primates; Hominidae.